This 96-nucleotide transfer RNA is filed under the name Rubrivivax sp. Its description in RNAcentral is "tRNA-Sec". It matches the Rfam family "Selenocysteine transfer RNA". Lineage: Bacteria; Pseudomonadati; Pseudomonadota; Betaproteobacteria; Burkholderiales; Sphaerotilaceae. The record is from RNAcentral. RNAcentral also lists the same sequence under 2 other names.
GGAGAGGAAACGAUCCUGGUGGGUCGGCCGGGCUUCAAACCCGGUGGGUGGCGCCAUGCGUUGCUGGGAGGGUUCGACUCCCUCUCCUCUCCGCCA